RNAcentral lists this ribosomal RNA (245 nucleotides) under uncultured Aeromicrobium sp. Its description in RNAcentral is "partial 16S ribosomal RNA". It matches the Rfam family "Bacterial small subunit ribosomal RNA", at positions 524 to 768 of the family's 1533-position model. Lineage: Bacteria; Bacillati; Actinomycetota; Actinomycetes; Propionibacteriales; Nocardioidaceae. The record is from RNAcentral.
UACGUAGGGUCCGAGCGUUGUCCGGAAUUAUUGGGCGUAAAGGGCUCGUAGGCGGUUUGUCGCGUCGGGAGUGAAAACUCAGGGCUCAACCCUGAGCGUGCUUCCGAUACGGGCAGACUAGAGGUAUGCAGGGGAGAACGGAAUUCCUGGUGUAGCGGUGGAAUGCGCAGAUAUCAGGAGGAACACCGGUGGCGAAGGCGGUUCUCUGGGCAUUACCUGACGCUGAGGGGCGAAAGCAUGGGGAG